AUUGAACGCUGGCGGCAGGCUUAACACAUGCAAGUCGAGCGGGGUGAUGGUGCUUGCACUAUCACUUAGCGGCGGACGGGUGAGUAAUGCUUAGGAAUCUGCCUAUUAGUGGGGGACAACAUCUCGAAAGGGAUGCUAAUACCGCAUACGUCCUACGGGAGAAAGCAGGGGAUCACUUGUGACCUUGCGCUAAUAGAUGAGCCUAAGUCGGAUUAGCUAGUUGGUGGGGUAAAGGCCUACCAAGGCGACGAUCUGUAGCGGGUCUGAGAGGAUGAUCCGCCGCACUGGGACGGAGACACGGCCCAGACUCCUACGGGAGUCAGCAGUGGGGAAUAUUGGACAAUGGGGGGAACCCUGAUCCAGCCAUGCCGCGUGUGUGAAGAAGGCCUUAUGGUUGUAAAGCACUUUAAGCGAGGAGGAGGCUCUUUUGGUUAAUACCCAAGAUGAGUGGACGUUACUCGCAGAAUAAGCACCGGCUAACUCUGUGCCAGCAGCCGCCGCCG
Molecule: ribosomal RNA, 503 nt
Filed under: uncultured bacterium
Lineage: Bacteria
Description: partial 16S ribosomal RNA
Rfam family: Bacterial small subunit ribosomal RNA
Source: RNAcentral